AGGACGAACGCUGGCGGCGUGCUUAACACAUGCAAGUCACGGGGGCUCGCAAGAGCAACCGGCGAACGGGUGCGUAACACGUGAGCAACCUACCGAUUUCUGGGGGAUAGCCGGCCCAACGGCCGGGUAAUACCGCAUACGUUCUUUGGGGGACAUCCUCUGAAGAAGAAACCUCCGGGGGAGAUCGAGGGGCUCGCGGCCUAUCGGCUAGUUGGCGAGGUAACGGCUCACCAAGGCAACGACGGGUAGCU
RNAcentral lists this ribosomal RNA (251 nucleotides) under uncultured bacterium. Its description in RNAcentral is "partial small subunit ribosomal RNA". It matches the Rfam family "Bacterial small subunit ribosomal RNA", at positions 26 to 288 of the family's 1533-position model. The record is from RNAcentral.